UUAACUGAAACCAAAAAGAGGUAUAUUAUUGUUAAUAAUAAAAUUGAAUGAACAUUCCUGUUAAG
Molecule: transfer RNA, 65 nt
Filed under: Hospitalitermes hospitalis
Lineage: Eukaryota; Metazoa; Arthropoda; Insecta; Blattodea; Termitidae
Description: tRNA-Asn
Source: RNAcentral